UUGAAUUCUUUGGAAUGUGUGCGCUGAGAGUAAUGGCGACGGGGAAAGACGUUCUUUUGUCACAUUCGCAGUCGGUAAAGGUUGAAAGUGCGACGGGAGCGAUGGAAGCCACAGUGGCCCGGGAGGGGUUUCUAAACACCUCUGGAAGGCAAUGAAAACUAAAAAUGAAUCUACAGGUGCUGCAUUUCCAGAUCCAGGCCCUUGCCCAGAAAGCGGUUCCAGUUUAGUGGUCGCCAUCUUGACUGGGUUCCUAUCGUGAGUGGGGUUCUAACGGUCUCAGCUGGGUCCUAGCGCCAGGCGUGUAACCGUAAUUAACAAUGGGGUUUUUAGCAGCAUCACCCAUUCCCAGCCACAGCUGACCUAUGCAGCCUCGAGUUGCCAUGGGCCUUGGAUACAUUCAGUUGAGUGGCUGUGGCUGCAACUCCUGAUACGUAGAAGAGCUGAACUUCUCGUUUUGUGUCACUUCAGCCCUGAUUUCUCAUCUGUGGCUGCUCAACGUGGAGAAGAGUUGGUGAGUCAGGGAAUUCUGGCUAAAACAGCAUUCUGUAAUACUUGGGUAAACCCAUAGGAGUGGGACAUGUAUUAUUACUGAGCAUUCUUAUUUAAGAAACUGGAACAGUCAUCAGCCCAGCGAGCUUUCUCUAUCAUUCUGGUAAGAUCAUGGCUGAUCAGAUUGUUACUUUAAUUCUACUUUCCUGCCUGCCCUCCAUGAGAAGUGUCUUCCAUGCCCAGCUGUCCCUGGGCACACACUGCUGACCAUUACAUUUGAUACCUUCCACAAUGGUAACAUGUCAGCAUAAGGGGAGGCAAUCAUCUCGUGGUAUUCUCACUGGCCUGUUAAUCCAGAGACGUAGGUGUUGUUCUGGGGACCUGGGUUUGAAUCUUGCCACGGCAGAUGGUGGAAAUUGAUUUAAAUAAAUAGCUAGAAUUAAGAGUCUAAUGAUGACCGUGAAUCCAUUGUCGAUUGUUGGAAAAAUCAUCUGGCUCACUAAAGUUCUUCAGGGAUGGAAAUUGCCAUCCUGACCUGGUCUGGCCUACAUGUGACUCGAGGCCCACAGCAAUGUGUUUGACUCGUAACUGCCGUCUGGGCAAUUAGGGAUGGGCAAUAAGUGUUGGCCUAGCCAGCGGUGCCCUCAUCCCAGGAAGGAAUAUGGAGUAAAAAAACAUGUCUCAUUGACACUGGGAAUUUCCUCAUGACUUUGUUCUUUAUUUUUGCUUUUAUUAGUUUGAGUGGAAAGAACAUUCUGUCACAGAAAUAUUACAGUGUGGAAGGAGACCUUUUGACCAGCCAUGUCUGCACUGGCUCUUCACAAUAUCAAUCUGACUGACUGAGAAGCUAGAAUUAUUUGCUCCAAAUUGCCAUCAAUGGACUGAUCAUGAUUCUGGCAUUGAGGUUGUUGACUUGCUCACCGAGCUGGCUUGUUUUUGUUUUCAAGGUGAGCAAGUCAACAAUCUCACCCACGACCUGAGCUACAAAUCGUUGCAAAAUACUGACAUUCUGUAUUUCUUUUACAAAGGAUUGGGAGAAGCGGAUUUGUGAAUGGCAAAUGCAAAGUAAACAUCACUAGUCAGGAUCUGAUUAUCAUCAGCUUUUCAAUGUGGAAAUAGAAAUGCUUGCCUCUUCUGUCUGUUGGGGAAAACUUCAUCGUGAGACACAGAAACACCCAAAUGAGAAUGUUACCGUGCACUGACUGUGUAAAGAGCUUUAACCAAUUACGAUGCCUGAAUAAGCAUUCCACCAUUCUCAACCCAGAGAAAUUACACGUUUUUUAAUGUAAAAGAGGUUUCAGCAAAUCAUCCAACCUGGAGAGACACAAAGACACCAGCACCAUGGACAAACCAUGGAAAUGUGAGAACUGUGGGAAGAGAUUCAGUUGGCCAUCCCAGCUGGAAAUACAUGGACGCACUCACACGGGGGACAGGCCGUUCACCUGCUCCAAGUGUGGAAGAGGAUUCAGAGAGUCAACCAACCUGCUUGCUCACCAGCGGGUUCACACUAAUGACAGACCUUUUAAAUGUUCAGACUGUGGAAAGUGCUACAAAUGUUCUGGGGACCUGAUGUCCCAUAAACGUGUUCACACCAAUGAGAAACCUUUCAGGUGCUCUCACUGCAAGACUGGAUUCAGAAAAUCACCUGAACUCUGUGUACAUCAGCGCACCCACACUGGGGAGAGGCCAUAUACCUGCUCUGCAUGCAGGAAGGGAUUCAUUAAUUCAUCCAACCUGUUGAGACACCAGCGAGUUCAUUCUGCGAAGAGAACUUUUAAAUGUUCUGACUGUGAGGAGACUUUUAAAAGUAGCAAUAACCUGCUGAGACACCAACGCACUCACACUGGAGAGAAGCCAUUCACCUGCUCUGUGUGUAGGAAAGCAUUUACAUGAUCAUCGACCCUAGUCACACACCAGCGAAUUCACACUGGGGAGCAACCAUUCACCUGCUCCGUGUGUGUAAAGAAAUUCACAUGUGCAUCUCACCUUCUGAAACACGAACGCACUCCUACAGAGGACAGGCCAUUUAUUUGCUCUGUUUGUGGGAAGGGAUUCACUGAGUCAUCCAAUCUGCUGCAACAUCAGCGAGUUCACAACUGACUGGGAGUCAGAUUCUGACAGUAUUGCUGCUGGUCGUUACAGCCAGGACUGAACUAGCAAGUUGAUCUUGAGGAGAGCAAGAAGUGCGUUCCAGCCAUUUUCUUCCAUGGCACAGAAAUCCUAGCCCUUGAUCAGAAAACCCUUUACAAUUGUGUAUAAAGUCAGAAAUAACAAUGAUGAAAGCUGGAAAUGUGCUGUCAAAUCAAAAUUGGUGUAGAACGAUGACCUUUCCUGGCUGGAAGUUAAUGGGCACAUUUCUGCUUUCCCUACAUUAGUAAACACAAAACUGGAACAAAACCUUCCAUUGCUAAUAUGGCAUCUCUCAGCCUUCUCUUUUCCAAGGAAAAGAUCUUCAGGCUUUCCUAAUAUUAGAUGGAGAAUAUGUACAAGUGGAAAACUCAAAUAUCACAUCAGGAUCUGACAGUGAUGCUUGAUUCCUGGAAACAGAAAGCACCCCAUUCACAGAGUGAAGAAACUGCAACACGUUGUGGAUGUGGAUGAGGCUACAGUUGAUCAUCUGGAUUGAGAAAACACAAGCAGAGUCACACUGGGGAGAAACCAUGUAAAUGUAGGGACUGUGAGAAUGUAUUCAAUUAUUCAUAUGAGCUGGAAUAUCAUUGACGCAGUCAUCCAGGAGAGAGGUUGUUCUGUUGCAGUGAAUGUGGUGAAGCAUUUGUUCAUUUAUCCACCUUGCUGAUGGCCUAGCAGGUUCACACUGGAGAGAGGCCAUUUAACUUUUCUGUGUGUGGGAAGAGGUGCAUAUUUUUACUUGCAAAAUUGAGACAGUGUCAUUGCUGUGACUGGGAUAAGAGUUUUAAAUGUCCAUGUGGACUGAGGGAGAACCAGCACAUUCCCAUUGGGUACUCCCCAUUCCAAAGCUCUUACUGCAGCAAGAAAUUCAGGCGAUCAUCCAGCCUGUCGAUACAUCAGUGAAUUCACACUGGGGGGAGAGCUUUCACAUGCUCUUGUGUGUGGGAAGGGAUUCAUUAAUUCGUUCAAGCUGCUAGUACCCCAGUAUCUACACUGGCGAGAAAUCUUUCAAAUGCCUAGGUUGCAGGAACUAUGAAAAGAAAUUUGGACAAGUGCUCGAAAGAACAUAGUUUCAGGCUGAUUGAGGAGGCAGCGGUGGAGAGGGUGAAGUUUGAAACCCAGUCAUGUCACUGCAGACAGGUCGCCAUGACAACACUGACAAACAUUCCGUUCCACAUUGUUUCACACAAGUGGCUAGAAUGUCAGAGUAAAAUCUUAAAUAAUGGGGAAGGUUAUUAUCUGAAAUGUGCAGCCAGAGAGGGUGGUAGAGGCAGAUUUACUGGAGAUUUACAAGAGGAGAUUGUCACUCGGUGAAUUUCUCAGUCAGGUGGUCACCCAAGUGUUACAGGAAGAAGCUGAAGGAUUGAUAAUUGCUGAUUUGAGACUCAGGCACCAGCACCAGCACCACCAUCAGCUUCCAACUCCCCACUCCCUCAAUAAUAAACCCUCCAGUGCAGACUGUUAACUGGUAUCAAUUUCCCUCUGCAUCUUACAAUUGGGGCACUGUCGAAUGGAGGUUAGUGCUUGUUCAGCAAUUCCAUGUAACUACCGCAGUGCAAGUUCUGUUCUGCAGCCUCUGAGCUGAAUGGCCUGAAAAAGUUCCUGUUGCCCUGCCCUUACUUGGCCUGUUUGGGCCCACGACCUUUUGGAAAGUUGCUCAGUGGCGAAGUGUGAAAAUAUUGCCCACUUGAAUUGAGUUUUGUGUCCUACAGAAAGGAGUCUGGAGGUGUGGUGUCAUGAUGCAAUGAUAAACAGCCUCGCUCUCCAUCUCAGCAAAACAAAAGAACUAAGCAUUGACUUCAGGAAGAAGGGAGGAGAACACAUUCCCAUCUAAGUCAACAGAGCAGAAAUUGAGAGUUAAGUUUCCAGGAGUGAUGAUAAUCAACAAACUGGUCUGGACUUACCAGUUAGAUGUGACUGUCAAGAAGGCACAACGACGUCUCUUCUUCUGCAGGCAGCUUAGGAAAUUUGCCAAGGUCAUAAGGACCAUCACCAACUUUUACAGAUGCACCACUGAAAGCAUACUGCCCGGGUUCAAAAUGCCCUGGUACGGCAACUGCUCUGCCCAGGACUGUACAAACUGUAGAAGACUGUGCGCAGGCCACACCAUCAUGGAAGCCAACCUUCCACCCAUGGACUACAUGCCUACAAAGUAAGGCUACCAACAUCAUAAAAGACCCCUCCCACUGUGUAAUGCUCUCCCACAACCUCUUCCGUCAGGCAGAAAAUACAGUAGCUUGAACAAACACCAGCAGGUUCAAGAACAGCUUUUUCCCAGACAUUAUUAGACUGAUGAAUGGACUAUCUAACUUCAAAUCAUGUUAAAAUGCUGAUCUUGCUCUGCAUAUCUCCUGUGUGACGUAAGCUACACACCUCAAACUGUCCCAGCAUCCUUUGACCUGUUUUUCCUUGCUUACUAUGAUUUGCCUGCAGUGGUCACAAGACAAAGUUUUACACCGUACACAUGGCAGUCAAUAAAUAAUGUCAAAUCUUGAGGUGUUCUCUCGUCUAGUCAGGGCUGUCCUCACCGUAGUCCUCCCUCCAGUCUGAUUGCUAGGUUUCACCUCUGAGCCCUUCACCAACUGCUGUCUUGCUGCUGAUCUUGACCUCAGGCAUUUUCUUGCUGCUAACCACCAUUUCUCUAGGUGUAGUCACCGUGUGCCUCAAAGUCUGAAUAUCAGUUUCUGAGAGCUUGGGACAGACUGGACAGGACAUAAUACCAUUUAAGACAAGCGCCGUUGUUUACUAUAAACCCAUGUGCAGUGGCAUCUGAUGGGCAGAAUAGUCUACUCCCGUGUUGCUAUGACUUGUAAUGUUUUUUUAAUGUACUUUUCUUUAUCCUGGUAUUUAACAAAAUAAAACAGAGAAAUCCUAGAAAGAUA
This is a long non-coding RNA of Stegostoma tigrinum, 5501 nucleotides long. RefSeq lists it as uncharacterized. The record is from RefSeq and is a predicted model, not a curated record. Lineage: Eukaryota; Metazoa; Chordata; Chondrichthyes; Orectolobiformes; Stegostomatidae. The transcript has 2 exons.